This 323-nucleotide ribosomal RNA is filed under the name uncultured eukaryote. RNAcentral's name for it is "partial 18S ribosomal RNA". It matches the Rfam family "Eukaryotic small subunit ribosomal RNA", at positions 1470 to 1796 of the family's 1831-position model. The record is from RNAcentral.
CCCUUAGAUGUUCUGGGCCGCACGCGCGCCACACUGAUGCAUGCAACGAGUUCUAUCCUUGGCCGGAAGGCCUGGGUAAUCUGUGAACGUGCAUCGUGAUAGGGAUAGAUUAUUGCAAUUAUUAAUCUUGAACGAGGAAUUCCUAGUAAACGCAAGUCAUCAGCUUGCAUUGAUUACGUCCCUGCCCUUUGUACACACCGCCCGUCGCACCUACCGAUCGAAGGUAAUGAUGAGCCCUCAGGAUUGUGGCCUCGUCGCGUCAGCGUCUUGGCUGCGAGAAUCUGUGCAAAUCCCUACCUUUAGAGGAAGGUGAAGUCGUAACA